CCACACCACAACAAAAAGCCUGCGCUGCAACGAGAGAUCCCACAUGCUACAACUAAUACCUGAUGCAGCCAAAAAAAAAUUUUUUUAAAUAAAGAAAAUAAAUAAAUAUUAAAAAAGAAUAAAAUAUAUAGGAAUAAAUCUAACUAAGGAGGUAAAAGACCUGUACUUGGAAAACUGUAAGACACUAAUGAAAGAUAAUUGAGGAUGCCCCAAACAGAUGAAAAGAUAAUACUGUGUUCAUGGAUUGGAAGAAUUAAUAUUGUUAAAAUGUCCAUUCUACCCAAGGCAAUCUACAGAUUCAAUGAAAUCUCUAUCAAAACACCAAUGGUGCUCUCUAUUGUCUUCUCUGCACUGGGAGCAGCUCUCCUGCCAUGGCCCUUCAGCCCCUGAAAAUGUACACGUGUGCCAAGUUCAUUUCCAUCCCCUCCUUGAUCAGGAGAACCUCUCCACUAAUGAGCCGAUCACUGUCUGCAGUGGUGCUGAAACAACUGGAGAUGCUGACAGAUGAGAGCCACAGCAGCUUGGCAACCCCGAGUCCCCUGACCACCUCACUUAUUCCUAGUCGCUGCUUCCAAACCAGUGCCAUUUCGAGGGACACUGACACAGCAGCCAAGUUCACUGGAGCUGGGGCUGCCACAGUAGGGGUGGCUGGCUCUGGGGCUGGAAUUGGGACUGUGUUUGGGAGCCUCAUCAUUGGUUAUGCCAGGAACCUUCUCUGAAGCAACAGCUCUUCUCCUACACCAUUCUGGGCUUUGCCUCUUGGAAGCCAUGGGACUCUUUUGCCUGAUGGUGGCCUUUCUCAUCCUCUUCACCAUGUGAAGGGGCUGUUUCUACCUCCCAUAGUUCUUUCUCCCGUGUCUUGUCUGCCCUGUAUGUUCCUUUUCCUGUACCACCCCAGGCAGCCUGGGGAAAGGGGUUGGCUCACGGUUUGACAGAAGGAAGACAAAUAAAUACUGUAUUAAUAAGAAAAAAGAUAAAAACAAAACAAAAAAGACACCAAUGGCAUUUUCCACAGAACUAGAACAAAUAAUCUAAAAUGUUUACAGAAACACAGAAGACCCCAAAUAGCCAAAGCAAUCUUAGGAAAGAACAGAACUGGACGAAUCAUGCUCCCUGACUUCAACUACAAACCUACAGUCAUCAAACCAGUAUGGUACUGGCACAAAAACAGCCACACAGAUCAAUGGAACAGAACAGAGAGGCCAGAAAUGAACCCACACUUACAUGGUCAAAUUAAUCUAUGACAAGGGAGGAAGAAUAUACAAUGGGGAAAAGAUAACCUCUUCAAUAAAUGGUGUUGUUGAUGGAUCAGGUCUUUGAGAUACAUAAGGAAGCAAGUAAUUUUUUUCCACACUUCUUUUUAUUGGACGAAAUAAUUCAAAGUAUGUAUGCAUUAUAAAGUUCAGCAUUCAAAGAGCACU
RNA transcript from Orcinus orca (killer whale), 1421 nucleotides. It is a transcript of the gene named ATP synthase F(0) complex subunit C2, mitochondrial-like, with no coding region annotated. The transcript has a single exon. The record is from RefSeq and is a predicted model, not a curated record. Lineage: Eukaryota; Metazoa; Chordata; Mammalia; Artiodactyla; Delphinidae.